UCCACAUUUAAGCUAGCAAGCAAACAAUGUCGCUUUCGAAAGGCCUAAAGAGGAAAGUUGACAACGAAAACAGGACAUAUAAAGAAGAAAGGAAGGACAGGCUGUGCUGUGAACAAGAUGUGGGGGACUCAAGUCAGACUUAAGUCCCAAAUCUGAGGACUUGGGACUUCCUUGACUAGCACUGCACAGUUGAGUGGUUUUUAGUGCAAACCUGGCAAGCCACCAGAACACAUCAAACCAGCAGAGGGCAACACAGGUCACAGGGUGCAGCUAUCAUGGAGAGGCAUAGUCCAAAAAUAAUACAAUUUGGAUUCAAGGCUGUCACUGACAGUAGUAAGAAGAGCACAGCACUAUACUAAGUCUGCAAAACAAAAAUCAGCGGCAUGAUCAUCAUCAAAUCCAAUUUCAUCUGUCACUACAA
Molecule: long non-coding RNA, 421 nt
Organism: Monopterus albus (swamp eel)
Lineage: Eukaryota; Metazoa; Chordata; Actinopteri; Synbranchiformes; Synbranchidae
Exons: 3
Source: RefSeq, a predicted model, not a curated record